AAAUUUUGAAAAAUUGAAAAUUGAAAUGGAGAAUUGGAAAGAAAACUAGAAAACUAGUUUUCCAGUUCUACAUUUAAAAAACUAGCACAUGUAAUCACAAAACUCUAUUUUCCAGCUAGAAAACUACUUCAAUUUUACACAAGUGAACAGACUCUAAUAAUGCUCCAGUAUGACCUUUAGUUAGUGCUCUUUAAUUUGGAGAACUUAAAAUUAAAAAUUUUCUAAAGCUUGCUACUUCUUAUAUUUUCUAAUCUUUCCGCUUAUAAGCCCCUCUAGUCCUUGCUCUCCACUAGGUCUGAAAAUAGUUUAGGGAUUCCUUCCCUAGAGAGUCAUGUGUUGGAAUAAAGGAAAAAGGCAUACUGUCCUAGCCAUUCAUAAGGAAACAUAGACCA
This 392-nucleotide unclassified non-coding RNA is filed under the name Hevea brasiliensis (rubber tree). Lineage: Eukaryota; Viridiplantae; Streptophyta; Magnoliopsida; Malpighiales; Euphorbiaceae. The record is from RNAcentral.